This 483-nucleotide ribosomal RNA is filed under the name uncultured bacterium. RNAcentral's name for it is "bacterial SSU rRNA". It matches the Rfam family "Bacterial small subunit ribosomal RNA", at positions 28 to 534 of the family's 1533-position model. The record is from RNAcentral.
GACGAACGCUGGCGGCGUGCUUAACACAUGCAAGUCGAACGGGAGUAUUGAAGAAGCUUGCUUUAGAGAUACUUUAGUGGCGGACGGGUGAGUAACGCGUGAGGAGCUGUCCUAUGCAGGGGGACAACAGCUGGAAACGGCUGCUAAUACCCCAUAAGCCGAGAGGUAAAAGGAUCAAUCCGGCAGAGGAGGUACUCGCGUCCUAUCAGCUAGUAGGUGAGGUAACGGCUCACCUAGGCGAAGACGGGUAGCCGGCCUGAGAGGGUGAACGGCCACAUUGGAACUGAGAGACGGUCCAAACUCCUACGGGAGGCAGCAGUGGGGAAUAUUGGGCAAUGGGCGGAAGCCUGACCCAGCAACGCCGCGUGAGGGAAGAAGGUUUUCGGAUUGUAAACCUCUGUUCUUGGGGAAGAGGAGGAGACGGUACCCAAGGAGGAAGCCCCGGCUAACUACGUGCCAGCAGCCGCGGUAAGACGUAGCGUG